RNAcentral lists this ribosomal RNA (415 nucleotides) under uncultured crenarchaeote. RNAcentral describes it as "partial 16S ribosomal RNA". It matches the Rfam family "Archaeal small subunit ribosomal RNA", at positions 330 to 747 of the family's 1478-position model. The record is from RNAcentral. Lineage: Archaea; Thermoproteati; Thermoproteota.
GUGCAGCAGUCGCGAAAACUCUGCAAUACGCGAAAGCGUGACAGGGCUACCCCGAGUGUCGUCCGCUGAGGACGACUUUUCCACGCUGUAAGGAGGCGUGGGAAUAAGGAGAGGGCAAGUCUGGUGUCAGCCGCCGCGGUAAUACCAGCUCUCCGAGUGGUAGGGACGUUUAUUGGGCUUAAAGCGUCCGUAGCCGGCUCAACAAGUCUCCCGUUAAAUCCAACGAUUCAAUCGUCGGACUGCGGGAGAUACUGCUGGGCUAGGAAGCGAGAGAGGCAGACGGUACUCCCGGAGUAGGGGUGAAAUCCUAUAAUUCCGGGAGGACCACCAGUGGCGAAGGCGGUCGGCUAGAACGCGCUCGACGGUGAGGGACGAAGGCUGGGGGAGCGAACCGGAUUAGAUACCCGGGUAGUCC